UGUGUGUGACGUGUCCCAGGUGUGCUCCAGGUGUGUCCAGGUGUGUCCCCCACCUGUCCUCCCCCAUCCCCACCUGUCCCCGUGUCCCCCCCAGGCUGCUCCGUUGUCCCCUACGGCUCCUCCGUCAACGGCUUCGACGUCCACGGCUGCGACCUCGACCUGCACCUGGAGCUGGGGGGCCAGGACGGGGACCCCCAAAACCGGGAGACCCCAAAUGGGGACCCCCAGAGGCAGGGGACCCUGCUGGGGGAUGGGGACCCCCCUCCCAAUGGGUCCCGUUUGGGGGACAAGGACCCCCCCAUAAAGGGGUCCCUUUUGGGGUCUGGGGGGUCCCUUUUGGGGGACAGGGUGAACCCCCCUUCCAGGGAGUCCCUUUUGGGGUCCGGGGGGUCCCUUUUGGGGGACAACGGGUCCGUUUUGGGGGACAACGGGUCCCAUUUGGGGUCCAGGGGGUCCGUUUUGGGGUCUGAGGGGUGCAUUUUGGGGUCCGAGGGGUGCAUUUUGGGGGAUAGAGGGUCUGUUUUGGGGUCUGAGGUGUCCCAUUUGGGGUCCGAGGGGUCCCUUUUGGGGUCCGAGGGGUCUCUUUUGGGGUCCCAUUUGGGGUCCGAGGGGUCUCUUUUGGGGUCCCAUUUGGGGUCCGAGGGGUCCCAUUUGGGGUCUGAGGGGUCCCUUUUGGGGGACAGAGACCCCUCCCUGGACGGGUCCCUUUCAGGGGACGAGGCCGCUCCUCCCUCGGGCUCCGACUCCGAGGGUUCCCUGUCGGGGGGUGAAUCCCCCGAGCCCGGGGGGUCCCUUUUGGGGUGCGGGGGGUCCCUUUUGGGGCGCGGGGCCCCCCCCGAGCAGCUGCUGGCUCUGGUGG
Molecule: long non-coding RNA, 859 nt
Filed under: Cyanistes caeruleus (blue tit)
Lineage: Eukaryota; Metazoa; Chordata; Aves; Passeriformes; Paridae
Description: lncRNA (ENSCCEG00000001896.1)
Source: RNAcentral